UUGCAGGUACGGGAGCUGGAAGGAGAGGUUGAGAGUGAGCAAAAGCGUAAUGCUGAGGCUGUCAAAGGUCUGCGCAAACAUGAGAGGCGAGUGAAGGAACUCACUUACCAACGGAAGAAGAUAGAAAGAAUAUUCUCAGGCUUCAAGAUUUGGUAGAUAAACUUCAGGCAAAAGUGAAAUCUUAUAAGAGACAAGCUGAGGAGGCGAGGAACAAUCCAACACCAAUCUAGCUAAAUUCCGCAAGCUCCAGCAUGAGCUGGAGGAGGCCGAGGAACGGGCUGACAUUGCUGAGUCCCAGGUGAACAAACUGCGGGUGAAGAGCCGGGAGGUUCACACAAAAGUCAUAAGUGAAGAGUGAUCAUGUCCUGAUGCCAUGGAAUGACUGAAGACAGGCACAAAAUGUGACAUCUUUGGUCAUUUCCCUCUGUAAUUAUUGUGUAUUCUACCCUGUUGCAAAGGAAAUAAAGCAUAGGGUAGUUUGCAAACAAUAUCCUUAGACUGGUCUUGUCUU
Molecule: long non-coding RNA, 511 nt
Filed under: Homo sapiens (human)
Lineage: Eukaryota; Metazoa; Chordata; Mammalia; Primates; Hominidae
Description: non-protein coding lnc-MYH2-1:1
Source: RNAcentral